CGCACUUCCCGUGACACUCACAUAAUGGCCUUGCUGCGUUCUCUGCUAGGGGCGGCGGCCCGUUAUAAUUUUACGUUUGCGGCACGUCAUAUCCCAGGCGUAGCUAAUCCCAUCGCUGAUGCAAUCUCUCGUUUCAAUUGGUAGGUGUUUCGUCAGCUAGCCCCCAAUUGCUCAUCGCUACCAACACCUCUUCCAGCAAUCCUAUUGCAUCGGCUGUCGCCAGGGACCUAGAAACCCAAUGCCAUAGUUUACUUUGUCACAGUUUAGCGUCGUCAACCCAUAAAACCUACGCUUCUGCCCAACGGUCAUUUCUGCAAUUUUGUGAAUCCGAAAAUCACUUGAACUCGAA
Molecule: non-coding RNA, 349 nt
Organism: Paramuricea clavata
Lineage: Eukaryota; Metazoa; Cnidaria; Anthozoa; Malacalcyonacea; Plexauridae
Source: the annotation of a GenBank genome assembly